RNAcentral lists this ribosomal RNA (1110 nucleotides) under Triticum aestivum (bread wheat). RNAcentral describes it as "partial small subunit ribosomal RNA". The record is from RNAcentral. Lineage: Eukaryota; Viridiplantae; Streptophyta; Magnoliopsida; Poales; Poaceae.
UAAGAGUUUUUUAUAUAAGGGCUAGCUCCGCGUUGCCUCGCUAGCGUAGCUAAGGUAGGUGAGGCCUAAGCUCCACGUCUCUCCUCGGCUAACUAGGUCAGGCCUAAGCUCGUGGCGAUGCCGGCUCCACUCCCUACCUAGCUCAGGUAGGCACGCGACCCUAGUUCGCUUCCUAAGCCUACGUUGGCUACGCGAGCUCGCAGCUGCCACAGCUCGCCUCCGUCCACUAAGCCCAGGUCGGCUCCGCGGGAUCGCGCGUUACCCUAGCUCACGUCUUGGCGGCCGCCGCGUUCCUAAUUCCGGCUACCAGAAGUAGCUCAUUGUCAAGUAGCUCCACCGCUACGGCUAUCUCUCUCGGAAUCAAUACCACAUCCGCCCGCUAAUCAUGUUCCUCCGCCACGUUUGCCGAGUUCCUAUGUUUCCACCUACACGUCCUACUUCGCUGCCACAGAGCGACCACGCUCUCCUCCUCCGCCCCCCACUGGUGAUGUGAUCGUUGGAGCAGCCGCGUUCUCAUUGUCAUGUGUAGCUUUUCGCGGAUCCAUCCUGCCAUUACAGCUCCUACGUUCCUCCUUCUCCUAUACACACGGCGAGAAAGAAUGGUACUAACAUAAGAACCAAGUAAAUGUAUAUACAUACACGAGCAUAAAGGGUUUACUACUGAUGUUAAGAACGUAAAAAAAACAGUCUACUACCAAACACAAACCGAGAGCUCAGAGCAUAGACAUCAAAGUCACAUCGUCAAGUAUAACCAUAGUCGAAAUCGGUAAUGCUGACAUCAAACGUAAUCACGAAUCGUUACGAAGUUUAUAGGCUGCGGGAGGGGUACGACGGAACGAAGUAAAGAACGUUGGCUCGCCAUAGACACCGCCAGCUCGAGGUAGGGUCACAUCGCGAGAGCGCGAAGGUGAGGCGGGCUGUCGUUACAUCCUUAUUAACCACUCGUACUUCUAGGAAGCAACGAUGUAGACAAGGAUGGGGUCGACAGGUAGCUAAACCUUCGAUGCACUACCGACAAGUUGUUGGACCGUUAGUCCGUCAUAGCGGUGGCGGGCCGCGGUUACGUGGUGCGUUUAAUAAGGAGGGUGGAGGAGGUCCGGGUUGGACAAC